This 460-nucleotide ribosomal RNA is filed under the name uncultured bacterium. Its description in RNAcentral is "partial 16S ribosomal RNA". It matches the Rfam family "Bacterial small subunit ribosomal RNA", at positions 338 to 795 of the family's 1533-position model. The record is from RNAcentral.
CCUACGGGUGGCAGCAGUGAGGAAUAUUGGUCAAUGGACGAGAGUCUGAACCAGCCAAGUAGCGUGAAGGAUGACUGCCCUAUGGGUUGUAAACUUCUUUUAUAAAGGAAUAAAACGAGGCACGUGUGCCUUUUUGCAUGUACUUUAUGAAUAAGGAUCGGCUAACUCCGUGCCAGCAGCCGCGGUAAUACGGAGGAUCCGAGCGUUAUCCGGAUUUAUUGGGUUUAAAGGGAGCGUAGAUGGGUUGUUAAGUCAGUUGUGAAAGUUUGCGGCUCAACCGUAAAAUUGCAAUUGAUACUGGCAGUCGUGAGUACAGUUGAGGUAGGCGGAAUUCGUGGUGUAGCGGUGAAAUGCUUAGAUAUCACGAAGAACCCCGAUUGCGAAGGCAGCUUACUAAACUGCCACUGACAUUGAUGCUCGAAAGUGUGGGUAUCAAACAGGAUUAGAUACCCCAGUAGUC